Molecule: ribosomal RNA, 361 nt
Filed under: uncultured bacterium
Lineage: Bacteria
Description: partial 16S ribosomal RNA
Rfam family: Bacterial small subunit ribosomal RNA
Source: RNAcentral
CCUACGGGAGGCAGCAGUGAGGAAUAUUGGUCAAUGGACGGAAGUCUGAACCAGCCAUGCCGCGUGCAUGAAGACGGCUCUAUGAGCUGUAAACUGCGUUUGUACAAGGGUAAACCUGCAUACGUGUAUUCAUCUGAAAGUACUGUACGAAUAAGGAUCGGCUAAGUCCGUGACAGCAGCCGCGGUAAUACGGAGGAUCCAAGCGUUAUCCGGAUUGAUUGGGUUUAAAGGUUGCGUAGGCGGAUUGAUAAGUUAGAGGUGAAAUGUCCGAGCUUAACUCGGGAACUGCCUCUGAUACUGUUGAGCUGGAGAGUAGAUGAGGAAGGCGGAAUGUAAGGUGUAGCGGUGAAAUGCUUAGAGA